This 465-nucleotide ribosomal RNA is filed under the name uncultured bacterium. Its description in RNAcentral is "partial 16S ribosomal RNA". It matches the Rfam family "Bacterial small subunit ribosomal RNA", at positions 338 to 795 of the family's 1533-position model. The record is from RNAcentral.
CCUACGGGAGGCAGCAGUGGGGAAUAUUGCGCAAUGGGCGAAAGCCUGACGCAGCGACGCCGCGUGAGGGAUGAAGGUCUUCGGAUCGUAAACCUCUGUCAGCAGGGAAGAAAGGUCACUGUGCUAAUCAGCAGUGAAUUGACGGUACCUGCACAGGAAGCGCCGGAUAACUCCGUGCCAGAAGCCGCGGUAAUACGGAGGGUGGAAGCGUUAAUCGGAAUUACUGGGCGUAAAGCGCUCGUAGGCGGUAUGUCAAGUCAAGGGUGAAAUCUCCGCGCUCAACGUGGGAACUGCCUUUGAAACUGGUAAACUGGAGUGUGUGAGAGGAUAGUGGAAUUCCAGGUGUAGGAGUGAAAUCCGUAGAUAUCUGGAGGAACAUCAGUGGCGAAGGCGACUAUCUGGCACAUAACUGACGCUGAGGAGCGAAAGCGUGGGUAGCAAACAGGAUUAGAUACCCCUGUAGUC